UUUUGUAUUCACUCUCUGGCUCCAUGGAUCUAGCGUUCCUUUCUGCACAGUAGCAUAUCUCCAACAGAAAGUCUAACUAGUGCCCCGAUCCCAGCCUAGUCUAUAGCCUAGUGCAGGGCUGUCCAGGUGGUGGCCCACAGGCCACACGCGGCCCCUAGUGGGUUAACCUGUGGUUCUUGGUCCAGGUGUUCUUCUCAUCACUGUCCUGCUGGUACUGCUGGGGUCUCUGAGCUCUUCCUUUAUCCUCCUGCUUUUCCUUCCCAUCCUGUCCAUGGGGCUAGGGCAGGGCAGGGCAGGGUAACCCAUGGGGCUGAGGGACCCUCCAACCAAGGGAGUUUGGUGGGAUCUGAGGGUGGGACACAUACCCUAACAGCCCAAUCUGGGCUAAUUGCCUAGUUGGCUACACCAGCCUAGGGUCUGACUAGCAGCCACCCCAGGUAAUGAUUCCAGCUGCCCACUCUUGGAGCCUCCUGCCUAGCUGCUGGUGAAAGAGCAGCUUCUCUAGUUAGUCCCUCCUGUGGCAAGAUGCUGUAGGUUAGGCUCUCUGAAGGUCUAUGCUGGUAUAAAAGAUGGCACAGAUACAAAACAAGACAUUUGAGUUAGAGCACCGCUGUUAUUAAUUUGUACCUUGAUUUUCUUCAAGUGCUCAGCACACUCCACCCACCUGAAGUCAAGGGAAGCUUUUGUACAGCAACUCUUAAGGAACUCUUAAGCUGGUAAAUAAGGGUAUGAAAUGAAAGUGAACAGCUCAACUUCAUAACAAGUUUUAAUGUCAUAUGGAUUUUUAAAGAGGAACAGUAGAUAUGAAAUGGUGAAAAGGGGGAGCAGCAGCAGAGCUCACUGCACACACAAACCAGAGGUGAAGUGGGGUGUGAUGGCACCACCACAGCACCUGCCCUGGAUAUGCCCCUGGUUCUCACUUAUUAACAACCUUGCUAAAGGCCCAUUGUUGCCACUUUUACUUAUGCUGGCAAGUUUACCUUCAAUUUUUAGCAGCCAUCAGUCUCAUUAAAAAGAAAAGAGUCUCAGUUGAUGCAUUGCUACUGCCUUGGUACUCAGACGUUCAGUCCUGCUACCACUGAAAUAAAUGAUAGAACUCUCAUUGAUUUCAGUACUGGAGGAUUAGUGCCAGGCAUUAAACAGAUAACCCAAAAGGAAACAGAAUGACUGCAUUCUUUUAUACUUUCUUGUCUAAGAAAUUGCAAAGCAAAAGCAAGUGUUUAUAAUGUCACUGCUGAAGCAACAUCAGAGAUAUUGUUUGAAUAUACUGGAGGAUAAAGUGGUAUUAAAGGCAUGAGGAUUCCUUUCACUCUUUGUGCAAUUCUGUGGCCGGCAGCAUCAUCUACCAUUUACUGCUUGGAAGAUUUUGGGGAC
This is a long non-coding RNA of Alligator sinensis (Chinese alligator), 1374 nucleotides long. RefSeq lists it as uncharacterized. The transcript is spliced from 6 exons. Lineage: Eukaryota; Metazoa; Chordata; Crocodylia; Alligatoridae. The record is from RefSeq and is a predicted model, not a curated record.